GGGGAAUUUUGCGCAAUGGGCGAAAGCCUGACGCAGCAACGCCGCGUGAGUGAUGAAGGUCUUCGGAUCGUAAAGCUCUUUCGGCUGGGACGAAAACGGUCUGGUGAAUGGCCAGGCCCUUGACGGUACCGGAAGAAGAAGCACCGGCUAACUCUGUGCCAGCAGCCGCGGUAAUACAGAGGGUGCAAGCGUUGUUCGGAAUUAUUGGGCGUAAAGCGCGUGUAGGCUGCGACGUAUGUCGGGUGUGAAAGCCCUCGGCUCAACUGAGGAAGUGCGCCCGAAACUACGUUGCUCGAGUGCUGGAGAGGGUAGCGGAAUUCCCGGUGUAGAGGUGAAAUUCGUAGAUAUCGGGAGGAACACCAGUGGCGAAGGCGGCUACCUGGACGGACACUGACGCUGAGACGCGAAAGCGUGGGUAGCAAAC
Molecule: ribosomal RNA, 424 nt
Filed under: uncultured bacterium
Lineage: Bacteria
Description: bacterial SSU rRNA
Rfam family: Bacterial small subunit ribosomal RNA
Source: RNAcentral